This 495-nucleotide ribosomal RNA is filed under the name uncultured bacterium. RNAcentral's name for it is "partial 16S ribosomal RNA". It matches the Rfam family "Bacterial small subunit ribosomal RNA", at positions 28 to 507 of the family's 1533-position model. The record is from RNAcentral.
GACGACCGCUGGCGGCGUGCCUAAUACAUGCAAGUAGAACGCUGAAGGAGGAGCUUGCUUCUCUGGAUGAGUUGCGAACGGGUGAGUAACGCGUAGGUAACCUGCCUGGUAGCGGGGGAUAACUAUUGGAAACGAUAGCUAAUACCGCAUAAUAGUAGAUGUUGCAUGACAUUUGCCUAAAAGGUGCAAUUGCAUCACUACCAGAUGGACCUGCGUUGUAUUAGCUAGUUGGUGGGGUAACGGCUCACCAAGGCGACGGUACAUAGCCGACCUGAGAGGGUGAUCGGGCAAAAUGGGACUGGGACACGGCCCAGACUUCUAAGGGAGGCAGCAGUAGGGAAUCUUCGGCAAUGAACGGAAGUCUGACCGAGCAACGCCGCGUGAGUGGAGAAGGGUUUCGGAUCGUAAAGCUCUGUUGUAAGGGAAGAACGAGUGUGAGAGUGGAAAGUUCACACUGUGACGGUAUCUUACCAGAAAGGGACGGCUAACUACGUG